This 302-nucleotide ribosomal RNA is filed under the name uncultured bacterium. RNAcentral's name for it is "bacterial SSU rRNA". It matches the Rfam family "Bacterial small subunit ribosomal RNA", at positions 28 to 355 of the family's 1533-position model. The record is from RNAcentral.
UCAGACGAACGCUGGCGGCAUGGUUCAAGCAUGCAAGGAAAACGGACUAGCAAUAGUCAGUGGCGAAAGGGUGAGUAAUACGAUCCAACGUACCUCGAGGCGGCGGAUAGGCAUGGGAAACUGUGCGUAAUACGCCAUGAUGUCUACGGACCAAACAUUUAUGGCCUUGAGAGCGGGGAUCGUCCUAUCAGGUAGUUGGCGGGGUAAAGGCCCACCAUGCCUAAGACGGGUAGCAGGUGUGAGAGCACGGCCUGCCACAUCGGGACUGAGACACUGCCCGGACUCCUACGGGAGGCAGCAGU